GAUGAACGCUGGCGGCGUGCCUAAUACAUGCAAGUCGAGCGAACAGACGAGGAGCUUGCUCCUCUGACGUUAGCGGCGGACGGGUGAGUAACACGUGGAUAACCUACCUAUAAGACUGGGAUAACUUCGGGAAACCGGAGCUAAUACCGGAUAAUAUAUUGAACCGCAUGGUUCAAUAGUGAAAGACGGUUUUGCUGUCACUUAUAGAUGGAUCCGCGCCGCAUUAGCUAGUUGGUAAGGUAACGGCUUACCAAGGCAACGAUGCGUAGCCGACCUGAGAGGGUGAUCGGCCACACUGGAACUGAGACACGGUCCAGACUCCUACGGGAGGCAGCAGUAGGGAAUCUUCCGCAAUGGGCGAAAGCCUGACGGAGCAACGCCGCGUGAAUGAUAAAGGUCUUCGGAUCGUAAAACUCUGUUAUUAGGGAAGAACAAAUGUGUAAGUAACUAUGCACGUCUUGACGGUACCUAAUCAGAAAGCCACGGCUAACUACGUG
Molecule: ribosomal RNA, 497 nt
Filed under: uncultured bacterium
Lineage: Bacteria
Description: partial 16S ribosomal RNA
Rfam family: Bacterial small subunit ribosomal RNA
Source: RNAcentral